RNAcentral lists this long non-coding RNA (749 nucleotides) under Musa acuminata (dwarf banana). RNAcentral describes it as "long non-coding RNA (MACU_LNC007601)". The record is from RNAcentral. Lineage: Eukaryota; Viridiplantae; Streptophyta; Magnoliopsida; Zingiberales; Musaceae.
CCCUCCUCAGUGGCCCUUCUUGUCGGGUGCGUCCCGCUAAUUCAUCGCGUCUUAUGCGCCCCAUCCCUCAACGACGAGCCCCGAGACGGGCAACACGCACUGUGAGACAGCCGAUGUACGCCUGAGGUAAUCACAGGGAAGAGCCUCUCGGGACCCACCGUGAGACAGCCGAUGUACGCCUGAGGUGAUCACAGGGAAGAGCCUCUCGGGACCCACCGUGAGACAGCCGAUGCACGCCUGAGGUAAUCACAGGCAUAGGAUGCCAUUUCUUCAUGGCCAUCCUAAUCCGCCAUUAAGACGAUUGAAGGCCAGGAUAUGAAGCCAUUAAUCUACUAUCUGGUACUCCUUUUUUUUCGACUCGACAAAGUAAUUACUAUAUAUAUAUUAUGUAUGUCUCAUCGCAUGGAAUAUGGAGGGGUUUACUCCCCUCGAGAAAUAAAUCCAUUAAAUAGAAACAGCUGUCUCCUCCUCCGGAGUGAGGUUGGAAUUCCAUCCUCCUGAAGAGCAGACUAGUUAUUAUGUGAUCUCCGAAAGGGUGGCAGCCUUCUUCCUCAAGCAUCCGACACACCCAUGCAUCAUUGAGUUCUGCAUUUGCUGAGGUCGCUCGAGCCAUCGCAAGAUCUUUGACUGAUCCAAGAACCACAUGCUGAGGUAUUAACUCGGAUUCUCGGUACCAUGAACUCCCCAGCAGGAGCUGUUGUGCAGAGCUCGAUUCUUCCUCGCAGGAGGUCUUCAAUGGAAGAUCGUGG